AGUAGUUCAGUUGGUAGAGCGACGGUCUCCAAAACCGUAUGUCGAGGGUUCGAGUCCUUCCUG
RNAcentral lists this transfer RNA (63 nucleotides) under Olegusella massiliensis. It matches the Rfam family "tRNA", at positions 6 to 65 of the family's 71-position model. Rfam says of the family: Transfer RNA (tRNA) molecules are approximately 80 nucleotides in length. Their secondary structure includes four short double-helical elements and three loops (D, anti-codon, and T loops). RNAcentral also lists the same sequence under 1 other name. Lineage: Bacteria; Bacillati; Actinomycetota; Coriobacteriia; Coriobacteriales; Coriobacteriaceae. The record is from RNAcentral.